Long non-coding RNA from Zingiber officinale, 752 nucleotides. RefSeq lists it as uncharacterized. The record is from RefSeq and is a predicted model, not a curated record. NCBI's taxonomy places the organism in Eukaryota, Viridiplantae, Streptophyta, Magnoliopsida, Zingiberales, Zingiberaceae. The transcript has 2 exons.
UCCUCAUAGCCUCCUGAAAUCGCCGCCGCGUCACUAUCCUCCCCACCUCCGCUACUCCGACGAAGCUUCCACCCUGCGUAUUGAGCUCCGGUCACGUGCCACAGAUCACAACCAACUUCCGCGGAGGGUGACACGAUCGGACGGGGAUAGCAGUCAGUGCUGUAGCAUUUCGUAAGGGUUCCGGAGGAGGCAUGAGGAAGGGAACGACAAGGGAAAGGCAAGUUCAUAUCCCCGUGAUAAUGUGAGAUCCAUGAGGUAAGGGAGAGGAAUCUAGGAGAUGUUGAAAUGAUUACCUACGAGGUUCAAUUGAUUGAAUGGUUUGCGAAUUACUGUUUCUGUGACGAUCUUGCUUCGCCUUGUGUUUUUUAUCUGGUUUUCUGCAUAGGAUUUGGGGGUCGAUGAUUGGAUUCGGUGUUUGGAAGGAGGUGAUGUACUUGUCUUCUUUUCAAUGUAGGGUUCCUCGCAGUGUUCUUUUGGAUCGCAAUUACAGCAUCGUAGGAUUUGGAGUAAGGUUACGUGACCGGUUCAUUAAGAUGUGGAUUCUGAUUUACAAGUCGGGUUCUUCUCCUUGAUAGCUUGAGAUGAUUUGCUUGCUUCUAUUAUUUCCGAAUGUUUCAACUAGAUGUUGGUGGUCUAAACCUUGGUGAAUCACAUUUUUGUUCCUUCUGUUGCUUUUGAAAUGCUGGUUAGAUUGGAAUAUGUGGACCCAAUUUGAUGUUGUUUUGAAGAUGUUAUUGGUUCCUUGUUGUUAA